This 253-nucleotide ribosomal RNA is filed under the name uncultured bacterium. Its description in RNAcentral is "partial 16S ribosomal RNA". It matches the Rfam family "Bacterial small subunit ribosomal RNA", at positions 524 to 776 of the family's 1533-position model. The record is from RNAcentral.
UACGUAGGGGGCAAGCGUUGUCCGGAAUCAUUGGGCGUAAAGAGCGUGUAGGCGGCCCGAUAAGUCCGCCGUGAAAGCCCAGGGCUCAACCCUGGGAUGCCGGUGGAUACUGUCGGGCUAGAAUCCGGAAGAGGCGAGUGGAAUUCCUGGUGUAGCGGUGAAAUGCGCAGAUAUCAGGAGGAACACCAAUGGCGAAGGCAGCUCGCUGGGACGUGACUGACGCUGAGACGCGAAAGCGUGGGGAGCAAACAGG